RNAcentral lists this ribosomal RNA (254 nucleotides) under uncultured bacterium. Its description in RNAcentral is "partial 16S ribosomal RNA". It matches the Rfam family "Bacterial small subunit ribosomal RNA", at positions 524 to 776 of the family's 1533-position model. The record is from RNAcentral.
CACGUAGGGCGCAAGCGUUGUCCGGAAUUAUUGGGCGUAAAGAGCUCGUAGGUGGUUUGUUACGUCUGCUGUGAAAACCUAGGGCUUAACCCUGGGCCUGCAGUGGAUACGGGCAGACUAGAGGUAGGUAGGGGAGAAUGGAAUUCCCGGUGUAGCGGUGAAAUGCGCAGAUAUCAGGAGGAACACCGGUGGCGAAGGCGGAUCUCUGGGCCGAUACUGACGCUGAGGAGCGAAAGCGUGGGGGAGCGAACAGG